Mastomys coucha (southern multimammate mouse) is the source of this 680-nucleotide long non-coding RNA. RefSeq lists it as uncharacterized. The record is from RefSeq and is a predicted model, not a curated record. Lineage: Eukaryota; Metazoa; Chordata; Mammalia; Rodentia; Muridae. The transcript is spliced from 2 exons.
CGGCGACGCCGAAGCCGGCCCGGCUACAGCUGAGGGGGCGGGGCUCCCUGAAAGAGCCAAUCAGCGCGGCGCAGACCGCGUGACGCUAAGCACCUGGAGGUGGGCGUGGUUUUCGAGGUACCGCCUCCGGCCCCCGCGGUUUCUAGAGGCCCCGCCCAGCACCUCGGCGCCACCUCCCCUUAUGCCCUAGGAGGUUGUAGCAGGCUCUUGUCCAGUUGGGCCACUCUUUCCCUUUCCCUCCGGGUAGGAAGUUGCCAUCUUUCUUCUUCACCCUUUGACCGGUCAUCUAAUGAGUCAGUGGCAUAAAGUAAUAAAAGAGAACUAGAGAUUGUGGCUUCCCGGUUCUGACGGUGCGAACUGUGCUGGCCCUGGGUGAGCCAAGUCCGCAGGAGCAGCUGACAUGGACAUGUGAGCAUUCAUCCCUGAGAGAGAGCUCUGCAGGGUUUCCAUAAUAAUAAUUGACCUGGAAUCUCCAAGUGGCACCGAGUGCCAUUGUUUACAAGAGCAGUGCAUCAGACAAACUUCACGAUCAUGGAGUAUGCUUCCAAAAGCCUGAUCUGUGCUCCUGGAAGCUGCCAAUCAGGAGAAACUGCCACGGCCAUGGGAAGAUAACUGGAUUCUGGCUCAGAAGAUGUAUAGGAGGAGGGCAGGAAUUUGAAUAAAUCAUGGGCUUCAGUUAA